UCCCUGGCCAAAGUGGUGCCUGGUCAAAAAAGGUUGGGAACCACUGAGCUAAAGGGACCCUAUUUGGGAUUGGGAUCCACAGUUUACAAAGCAGUGGUAUAGCAGAUCCAUUGAAAUCUGCUUGUUUUUAACCCUACAGAUUUCAAUGAUUCUGCUUGAGGAAUAAUUAAGUCUGAAAUAGAUUCAACUGAAGAUUGCUGCAAGUCUAUUCAGCAGAGCUUGGAAACUACAACUGAGUUCCUGCAUCAAGCCUCUUGACCUGACUCUCUGAAAAACCACUUUUAAAUCCAGCCUGAUAUGCUGGAGGAUGGAGUUCGACAGUGUUGGGGAAAGCAGCAGCACUAAAGGAUGAUCCAUUCACCCUCCACCAAGCUGCAGUACACCAAGGAAUCCUGCUGUGGUUCCUGCUUCUGAUAUCACCACUAUUCUGCAGUGGGAGAGGGCUGAAUGUGUCAUCUUUCGACACCCUGCUUAUCAGCAGAACUCCUUUCCAUCAAUGCAGAUGGUUGGAUUUUAACGUAAAUGCAGCAAAGACAACUUCAGGGAAACUCUAUUGGGCAAAAAGCCAUUCCUUGCCUUAAAACAAGGGUCAGUUCACCUGGAUACCCAACACAGAAACAAAUUCUACAUGAAGUCCUAACUAGAGUAGACUCACUGAGCAUGUUCAUUGACUCCCAAGACAAACCCAGGCUUUCCCCCUGUUCAAUGCUUAAACUUGGGAUAAAGAAGAACCCAUGGAACUAGGAUGGAGCCAGACAGAGCCCAUCACACGACACAGGACUACAUCACAUGACACAGGACUACAGAGCUCCAAUCUGACUCCAUAUUAAAAGUGUCCUACAGUGGAGCCCUGAGAACACAGGAUGCUUCCCGUGUUCUCAUUGAGUAGAAUUGGGAAAGCAUGCAGGGAAGCCAGGCGGCGAUGCUUCCCCCUGUGGGAUUGGGAAGGGGAUAAUGCAGAUGAUGCGGAGCAAUGGGUGCCCAUGCUGUUGACAGGAUUUGUCCCACUGCCCCAUGGAUGCCCCCGCUUUCCCCCCGAUUUCAGGACCUUAAUGUGAUGUGAGCCAUAGUUUCUGUAACCUACUCCAAUGAAUUAUAAAAUUAAAAAUACAAAAAAAGAGUACAAUGCAAAGUUAACUGACAAAGGCCUAUAAUAAAAAUAUAAGUUUAUGAAUUAUUUUGCUCAAAGUGUAUUGAGAAUCGGGUGUUUUUAAUGAAUUUUUUGAAGAUGUCAUUCUGCCCAAAUGAACAUCAAGAGCUGUGACCCAUGUAGGAGCAACCUCUCUUGGCUCUUGGACUGUUAUGAUGACUUUUAUCAAACCCACUGUGCUUUUUCAAAUUUACCAAGUUCCAGAGAUUCUCCAGAGUCACCACUGCAAAGUCCAGUCAGUCCCCGAGUUGUAAAGAUCCAAUUUAUAAAGUAUUCAUAGUUAAGAAGGGGGCUGAGACAACAGGAAGUGGGAGAACUCUUCCCUAGGAAGAGAAAUUAACUCCUGAAAGAGUUAUCAUGGGAAAAAGGGAAAAAGUGCCUCUAUUGAAGCUUUAUCUCCAACCCUUGUUUCCACAACAAGACAUUUUUUUUCAAGACCCAUUUCUCACAGGGACAAAAAGUGAGGUGAAAUCUUCUGAACACGCAGACAGAAAAACAAACACCACACUCCAAAGCUUUUAUAUAUAUAUUGAAAACAGGUACAUUUUUAAGUGUAUAUAUAUGGCUGGAGUUACACUUAAAAAUAUACCUGUUCCAAGUUACAUACAAAUUCACCUUAAGAACAAGCCUACAGAAGCUAUCGUGUCCGUAAAUUGGGGACUGCCUGUACAUUCUCUGACCUGGAGGGACUCAAGGUCAUCUCAUGAUAUCUGACAAUUUUGACUUCUUUGCUGGCUAUGUGGUACCCCAUCUAAAAGAGGAUCUUCUAAAUUAGCAUGCUUGGUGGGACAGGACAAGCAAAGUAACCCUUUCAACACACAAAAUCCAGGCUUAACGCAUGAAAAAUGAUGCAUCAUGUCGGUGGACUCUUUUGCUAAUCUCUCCUCUUGUCUCUGCCAAAUUCAGGUACACUCUGUGUAGCCUUAUGUAAGCAUGCAUGCUUACCAACAAAGGGAGUGCAUUAUCAAAAUAGCUUUUCAGUAACAACAGAGGGCAGCUAAAAGCAUUGAAAAAGACAGGUCAGAAUGAGCUGACAUGGUUGUUUUAUGGAAUGAUAGGAGGUGACUCUGGUUAAUUGGAAGCAAGAACAAAAGGCUUUGUUCUGUACAGCCAGUGUGUUUUCCCAACUGCUAAAACGAAUUAUCCAAAUAUUCAUCAACAUCUUCACAAACGAAAGACAUUACGAUCUUUUCAGUUAAAGAAAGGCUUUUCAAAGGCAGGGAGCAUUUUGAUCAAGACAGUGGAAGAAGGAAAAUGAAUUGCCAAAGCUGGAGAUGCCAUCAAAAUCAUUCAUGUUCCAGGUAUGGAUAUCUCUUGGCUGGUGAGAGAAAGUUGUCUGAGGACUAGAUUCAGAAAAAGAAGACAACUAAAAAAGGUCUGGAAGUCAGCAUUAUUUAUCUGUUCAACAUUUCAUUGCCACCAUCAAUGAAUGGGAAGGUAUCUUUCUUUACAACAAUCAAGACAAACUGAUUUCUGUGGGUACAUUGACUGAAACACUUUAAGGUUUUUUAUGC
Long non-coding RNA from Anolis carolinensis (green anole), 2664 nucleotides. RefSeq lists it as uncharacterized. The transcript is spliced from 3 exons. NCBI's taxonomy places the organism in Eukaryota, Metazoa, Chordata, Lepidosauria, Squamata, Anolidae. The record is from RefSeq and is a predicted model, not a curated record.